GGGGAAUUUUCCGCAAUGGGCNNAAGCCUGUACGGAGCAAUCUCGCGUGUAGGGCUGNCGGCCUAUGGGUUGUAAACCUCUUUUUUCAGGGUAGGNAUCAAAUGNCGUGUACCUGAAGNAUAAGCAUCGGCUAACUCCGUGCCAGCAGCCGCGGUAAGNCGGAGGAUGCAAGUGUUAUCCGGAAUCACUGGGCGUAAAGCGUCUGUAGGUGGUUUAGUAAGUCAACUGUUAAAUCUUGNGAGCUUAACUUCAAAAUCGCAGUCGAAACUGCUAGACUAGAGUAUAGUAGGGGUAAAGGGAAUUUCCAGUGGAGCGGUGAAAUGCGUAGAGAUUGGAAAGAACACCGAUGGCGAAGGCACUUUACUGGGCUAUUACUGACACUCAGAGACGAAAGCUAGGGUAGCAAAUGGGAUUAGAUACCCCAGUAGUC
RNAcentral lists this ribosomal RNA (430 nucleotides) under uncultured cyanobacterium. Its description in RNAcentral is "bacterial SSU rRNA". It matches the Rfam family "Bacterial small subunit ribosomal RNA", at positions 356 to 795 of the family's 1533-position model. Lineage: Bacteria; Bacillati; Cyanobacteriota. The record is from RNAcentral.